UGAUGACCAGAUGGCAAUGCUCACUAAACAAUUUAAGAAAUUUCUAAAAGGUAACAUGAAAAGAAGGAAUUUGAAAACUCAACCACCACCAAAGAAGAAUUUUUCUGGUAACUUUAGACAAAAUCCUACUUUAUCUAUUGAAAAGAACGAAAAAUGCGAUCAAUGCCAUGAAUGUAAAGAUUUCAGUCACAUUACGGCUGAGUGUGCAAAUACUCUAAAGAGUUCAAGAGAUAAGAAAGCCAUGAACAUAACCUAGAGUAAAGACGAAGACAAAAAAUAAAAUUCGAAUGAGGAAGACAAGAUCGACAACAAUCAGGUAACAUCUCUAACUAUAAACCUUCAACCUGUAGCUAAUAUGAACAACCUAUCACAUAUUCACAUGCUGGACCAAUCCAACUGAAUAUAGAUUCAGUGGAAACUAGUAAAGCUUGCAUAGAACGCAAAAUUUUGAAAGACAAUUUGGAAGCUGAACAAGAAAGAAACGUUACCCUUCUGGCCAUAAUAGAAUACAUUGAAGAAGAGAGAUCCUUAAUUACUAUCGAAAAAGAUAUAUUACUCAAAACUGUAAGAGAGAAUGAAAGAUAAUCCCUAGACCUACAAAACUAAACUGGAAUAUACCAAAGAAAGAGUCAGGCUACCAUCGGUUCUUCACGUCUUAGCGAGACACUUAGUUAUGGAACAACUUAUAAUGACGGGGUAGGUCAUGCGUAUGAAGAAAAAGGAAAAGAAAAGGUUACUGCUCUACUGAAAUCCGUUAGAGCAGUAGUGAAAUCAGAAAAAUUGCAAAAAAGAUCAUCAAAAUCUGCUGUCAAAAUUUUGAAUAAGACCAUCUUCAGCAGGAUAGUUCUAUGCGCAAAUGCUCCACAACAAGUUCUGACUUCUUAAAAAAAUCUUGUUCGGAUCACAUUGUCAUAUAAAUUGGUAAAGUCUUGCAUUAGUAAGGCAAAACACCUUAUUAUACGUAACUCCUGGUACUUUGAUAGUAAAUGAUCCGAACACAUACUGGAAAAUCGUGAUAUGUUAACUGACUACAAAAAGUAUGCAGGAAGAAUGGUUACUUUUAGGGAUGGUGUGCGUAGUAGGAUUGAAGGAGUUGGAACUAAUGAAAUAAUUGGAUCACCUAUGUUGAAUUAGCGUAAGUCAAUUAUGUGAUAAUGAACUCAUGGUUAUGUUUACAAAAAAUACAUGUAAGGUUAUGAAAGGUGAUGGUGGUUCUGUCCUAUGUGGUAGCAAAUCUAGUGAUAAAUGCUACUUGCUUGAAUCUGAUUUUACGUAUCAUGUCUCUAAUACUGAUUGUAUAGACCUAUGAUACAAACGAUUGGGACAUCUGAACUAUAUAGAUCUUGGUGGUAAAAUGAUAUAUCUUUGUUAUAUUUGAUGAUUUCUCUAAUUCACUUGGCUUG
RNAcentral lists this long non-coding RNA (1403 nucleotides) under Olea europaea subsp. europaea. The record is from RNAcentral. Lineage: Eukaryota; Viridiplantae; Streptophyta; Magnoliopsida; Lamiales; Oleaceae.